This 329-nucleotide unclassified non-coding RNA is filed under the name soil metagenome. Its description in RNAcentral is "partial contains 5.8S ribosomal RNA, internal transcribed spacer 2, and large subunit ribosomal RNA". The stretch from base 1 to 120 matches the Rfam family "5.8S ribosomal RNA", at positions 35 to 154 of the family's 154-position model. The record is from RNAcentral.
GAUGAAGAACGUAGCGAAAUGCGAUACGUAAUGUGAAUUGCAGAUUUCAGUGAAUCAUCGAAUCUUUGAACGCACAUUGCGCCCGCCAGUAUUCUGGCGGGCAUGCCUGUUCGAGCGUCAUUUCAACCAUCAAGCCUUCGCUUGUGUUGGGGCCCCGCGGCUGCCGCGGUCCCCUAAAUCCAGUGGCGGGCUCGUCGUCGUACCGAGCGCAGUAGACAUCCUCGCUCCGGGAACCCGACGGGUGCCGGCCGUGAAACCCCCCACAUCAAGGUUGACCUCGGAUCAGGUAGGAAUACCCGCUGAACUUAAGCAUAACAAUAAGCGGAGGA